UCACGCCCCGAGCUCCGCCUAUUUGGUCGGAUUCGGACACGCCGACAGACCGCCGAACGGACAGAGCCUCCCCUGUACAUUCUAGGCGUCACAAUCUAUACAAUGCAAUACAAGAGGUUCCAAACAGGAACUGUAUUCAACCAUAGAUUGCAUAAGUAUCAAAAACAUAAAAUGUUAACUAUACUAUUACAAGCAUUCAUCUCAGAAUUUUUACUUUUACAAUAUUACAUAAGCCUUUAAAUUAUUACAACUUACACACUUUUACUACAAUUUUGUUUCAUUCAUACUGAUACGCUGAGCUUGACCUCUUCAGGGUAUUGCUAUCUCGGUCUCAGUGGUGGGGCACUAUCUACGGAGCUACGCCCUGUCCUCGCGCCGCCACGCCGCUCGCGUGCAACCUGUACCCCAAAA
RNAcentral lists this long non-coding RNA (411 nucleotides) under Ananas comosus (pineapple). RNAcentral describes it as "long non-coding RNA (ACOM_LNC024147)". Lineage: Eukaryota; Viridiplantae; Streptophyta; Magnoliopsida; Poales; Bromeliaceae. The record is from RNAcentral.